RNAcentral lists this ribosomal RNA (382 nucleotides) under Chromobacterium sp. 30. Its description in RNAcentral is "bacterial SSU rRNA". It matches the Rfam family "Bacterial small subunit ribosomal RNA", at positions 99 to 478 of the family's 1533-position model. The record is from RNAcentral. Lineage: Bacteria; Pseudomonadati; Pseudomonadota; Betaproteobacteria; Neisseriales; Chromobacteriaceae.
CGAACGGGUGAGUAAUGCGUCGGAAUGUACCGUGUAAUGGGGGAUAGCUCGGCGAAAGCCGGAUUAAUACCGCAUACGACCUGAGGGGGAAAGUGGGGGACCGUAAGGCCUCACGUUAUACGAGCAGCCGACGUCUGAUUAGCUAGUUGGUGAGGUAAGAGCUCACCAAGGCGACGAUCAGUAGCGGGUCUGAGAGGAUGAUCCGCCACACUGGGACUGAGACACGGCCCAGACUCCUACGGGAGGCAGCAGUGGGGAAUUUUGGACAAUGGGCGCAAGCCUGAUCCAGCCAUGCCGCGUGUCUGAAGAAGGCCUUCGGGUUGUAAAGACUUUUGUUCGGGAGGAAAUCCCGCUGGUUAAUACCUGGCGGGGAUGACAGUAC